RNAcentral lists this ribosomal RNA (466 nucleotides) under uncultured bacterium. RNAcentral describes it as "partial 16S ribosomal RNA". It matches the Rfam family "Bacterial small subunit ribosomal RNA", at positions 28 to 507 of the family's 1533-position model. The record is from RNAcentral.
GACGAACGCUGGCGGUGUGCUUAACACAUGCAAGUCGAACGGUAAGGCCCUUUCGGGGGUACACGAGUGGCGAACGGGUGAGUAACACGUGAGUAACCUGCCCUCAUCUCUGGGAUAACAGUCGGAAACGGUUGCUAAUACUGGAUAUGAGCUUGCAAGGCAUCUUGUGGGUUGGAAAGAUUUUUUUGGUUGGGGAUGGACUCGCGGCCUAUCAGCUUGUUGGUGAGGUAGUGGCUCACCAAGGCUUCGACGGGUAGCCGGCCUGAGAGGGCGACCGGCCACAUUGGGACUGAGAUACGGCCCAAACUCCUACGGGAGGCAGCAGUGGGGAAUAUUGCACAAUGGACGGAAGGCUGAUGCAGCAACGCCGCGUGCGGGAGGACGGCCUUCGGGUUGGAAACCGCUUUCAAUUGUGACGAAGCUUUUUGUGACGGUAGCAGUAGAAGAAGCACCGGCUAACUACGUG